UCUGGUCUUCUCCAUAUCCUAGUAGCAAGAAACCCUAGGGUUUCUUGGUCGCCAAUCCAAAAAGGAAAGAAAGGAGGCGCUAGAAACCAGCACCCUCCUUGUGCAUGCCCCUGUUUGUGCACCCCCCUCUUGGCCGCCCAAGAGGAGUUGCAUACCCCAUAUUUUUCUUUUUGGAGGCUUCAUCAAGAGUACUUUCAGAUCCCAAAAGAUGGAUUUCAGAUUUGGUAG
This 228-nucleotide long non-coding RNA is filed under the name Elaeis guineensis (African oil palm). RNAcentral describes it as "long non-coding RNA (EGUI_LNC025805)". The record is from RNAcentral. Lineage: Eukaryota; Viridiplantae; Streptophyta; Magnoliopsida; Arecales; Arecaceae.